Molecule: ribosomal RNA, 477 nt
Filed under: uncultured bacterium
Lineage: Bacteria
Description: partial 16S ribosomal RNA
Rfam family: Bacterial small subunit ribosomal RNA
Source: RNAcentral
GACGAGCGCUGGCGGCGUGCUUAACACAUGCAAGUCGAACGUGAUUUUUGUGGAAAUUCUUUCGGGAAUGGAAAUGAAAUGAAAGUGGCGAACGGGUGAGUAACACGUGAGCAACCUACCUUACACAGGGGGAUAGCCGUUGGAAACGACGAUUAAUACCGCAUGAGACCACAGAAUCGCAUGAUAUAGGGGUCAAAGAUUUAUCGGUGUAAGAAGGGCUCGCGUCUGAUUAGCUAGUUGGAAGGGUAAAGGCCUACCAAGGCGACGAUCAGUAGCCGGUCUGAGAGGAUGAACGGCCACAUUGGAACUGAGACACGGUCCAAACUCCGACGGGAGGCAGCAGUGGGGAAUAUUGCACAAUGGGGGGAACCCUGAUGCAGCGACGCCGCGUGAGCGAAGAAGGUUUUCGAAUCGUAAAGCUCUGUCCUAUGAGAAGAUAAUGACGGUAUCAUAGGAGGAAGCCCCGGCUAAAUACGU